RNAcentral lists this ribosomal RNA (460 nucleotides) under uncultured bacterium. RNAcentral's name for it is "partial 16S ribosomal RNA". It matches the Rfam family "Bacterial small subunit ribosomal RNA", at positions 338 to 795 of the family's 1533-position model. The record is from RNAcentral.
CCUACGGGAGGCAGCAGUGAGGAAUAUUGGUCAAUGGACGAGAGUCUGAACCAGCCAAGUAGCGUGAAGGAUGACUGCCCUAUGGGUUGUAAACUUCUUUUAUAUGGGAAUAAAAUGUUCCACGUGUGGGAUUUUGUAUGUACCAUAUGAAUAAGGAUCGGCUAACCCCGUGCCAGCAGCCGCGGUAAUACGGAGGAUCCGAGCGUUAUCCGGAUUUAUUGGGUUUAAAGGGAGCGUAGGUGGAUUGUUAAGUCAGUUGUGAAAGUUUGCGGCUCAACCGUAAAAUUGCAGUUGAAACUGGCAGUCUUGAGUACAGUAGAGGUGGGCGGAAUUCGUGGUGUAGCGGUGAAAUGCUUAGAUAUCACGAAGAACUCCGAUUGCGAAGGCAGUUCACUGGACUGCAACUGACACUGAGGCUCGAAAGUGUGGGUAUCAAACAGGAUUAGAUACCCGUGUAGUC